Molecule: long non-coding RNA, 737 nt
Organism: Drosophila obscura
Lineage: Eukaryota; Metazoa; Arthropoda; Insecta; Diptera; Drosophilidae
Exons: 2
Source: RefSeq, a predicted model, not a curated record
CCACACAUUUUUGAUCCGUAAAAGUACUGGAAAAUAAUAAAAGAAAAAUAGCAUUAGUUUAUUAUAUUUAGAAGAAGUGUGAAAGUAGUUACCUGAAACCAAACAAAACUCGAAGCUAAACAAAAAUUUGUUGUUCUGUACUGCUCGGAGCGGAGUGUGAGGAAUAACUGAAAAUAUAAGAGAAUAAAGGAAUGAAAGAAUUGUAUUGCUUGGUUAAUGUGAUGGGCUGAAUAUGGAAAAUGUAACCCAGAAAUAAAGUCAUCAAGUCAUCUGUGAAAUGUGUUUGGGCUGCUGUCCAAUCCAUUCUCUAUUUCUCCCUUCCCAUUUAUUUCAUUCGCACAGCACCAUUCCGGCUAGAAACAUCUCCAAAUAUUUUGUGUAGUAAAAUUUUUGUUCGUCUCAAUUUCUCAGUUUUUGUUCGGUUCCAGAAACUCAACUGCUCAAACAUGUGCGGACCUUGCUGUGGACCCUGUGGCUCUUGCUGUGGACCCUGCGGAGGUUGCUGCGGGCCUUGCGGACCCUGCUGCGGACCCUGUGGCGGCUGUGGACCCUGCUGUGGUCCCUGUGGAGCCUGUGGCCCCUGCUGCGGCCCCUGCGGAGGUUGCUGUGGCCCCUGCGGAUGGUGCUAACCAAGGCGAAGGAUCUGCGACUAACAUCUACCGAACGUGAACCACUAACACCAAUUUGAGACUGAGACGGCAAUAAAUAAAAUGGCUUAAGCCCAAUAGCCCAACAAA